Xyrichtys novacula (pearly razorfish) is the source of this 160-nucleotide non-coding RNA. NCBI's taxonomy places the organism in Eukaryota, Metazoa, Chordata, Actinopteri, Labriformes, Labridae. The record is from the annotation of a GenBank genome assembly.
ACUGCUAUUUACUGUGGCCCUAAGGUGCAGAACACAACAGCAAAUCAGAAAACACAACACAAAAAAGAAAACACAACGGUAUUAACUUUUGUGUUUUCUCUUUUAGUGUUGUGUUUUCUGAUUUGCCGUUGUGUUCUGCACCUUAGGGCCACCAUAGCUG